GAUGAACGCUGGCGGCGUGCCUAAUACAUGCAAGUCGAACGCACAGCGAAAGGUGCUUGCACCUUUCAAGUGAGUGGCGAACGGGUGAGUAACACGUGGACAACCUGCCUCAAGGCUGGGGAUAACAUUUGGAAACAGAUGCUAAUACCGAAUGAAACUUAGUGUCGCAUGACACGAAGUUAAAAGGCGCUUUGGCGUCACCUAGAGAUGGAUCCGCGGUGCAUUAGUUAGUUGGUGGGGUAAAGGCCUACCAAGACAAUGAUGCAUAGCCGAGUUGAGAGACUGAUCGGCCACAUUGGGACUGAGACACGGCCCAAACUCCUACGGGAGGCUGCAGUAGGGAAUCUUCCACAAUGGGCGAAAGCCUGAUGGAGCAACGCCGCGUGUGUGAUGAAGGCUUUCGGGUCGUAAAGCACUGUUGUAUGGGAAGAACAGCUAGAAUAGGGAAUGAUUUUAGUUUGACGGUACCAUACCAGAAAGGGACGGCUAACUACGUCC
This 498-nucleotide ribosomal RNA is filed under the name Leuconostoc mesenteroides subsp. mesenteroides. Its description in RNAcentral is "bacterial SSU rRNA". It matches the Rfam family "Bacterial small subunit ribosomal RNA", at positions 28 to 508 of the family's 1533-position model. Lineage: Bacteria; Bacillati; Bacillota; Bacilli; Lactobacillales; Lactobacillaceae. The record is from RNAcentral.